Molecule: ribosomal RNA, 403 nt
Filed under: uncultured bacterium
Lineage: Bacteria
Description: partial 16S ribosomal RNA
Rfam family: Bacterial small subunit ribosomal RNA
Source: RNAcentral
GACGAACGCUGGCGGCGUGCCUAAUACAUGCAAGUCGAACGCAGUGGGGACGGGUGAGUAACACGUGGGUAACCUCCCAUCAGAGGGGAUAAACGUUGGAAACAGGUGCUAAACCGAUACUGAAGGAGGGACACGCGGUGCAUUAGCUAGUUGGUGAGGUAACGGCCCACCAAGGCCACGAGGCAUAGCCGACCUGAUAGGGUGAUCGGCCACACUGGGACUGAGACACGGCCCAGACUCCUACGGGAGGCAGCAGUAGGGAAUCUUCGGCAAUGGACGAAAGUCUGACCGAGCAACGGCGCGUGAGUGAAGAAGGUUUUCGGAUCGUAAAACUCUGUCGGUAGGGAAGCGGUAUCUACCCAGAAAGCCACGGCUAACUACGUGCCAGCAGCCGCGGUAAUAC